RNAcentral lists this ribosomal RNA (378 nucleotides) under uncultured bacterium. RNAcentral describes it as "bacterial SSU rRNA". It matches the Rfam family "Bacterial small subunit ribosomal RNA", at positions 28 to 414 of the family's 1533-position model. The record is from RNAcentral.
GAUAAACGCUGGCGGCGUGCCUAACACAUGCAAGUCGAACGCCCUUUUGCGCAAGUGAGAGGGAGUGGCGGACGGGUGAGUAGCACGUGGGUACCUACCCCAAGAUGAGGAAUACCACCGAGAAAUCGGUGACAAGACCGCAUACCUUCGGCCACGAAGAAAGCUUCUCCUCACGAGAGGCGUCUUGGGAUGGGCCUGCGCCUGAUUAGCUGGUUGGUGAGGUAACAGCNCACCAAGGCGACGAUCAGUAGCUGGUCUGAGAGGAUGAUCAGCCACACUGGGAUUGAGAACGGCCCAGACUCCUACGGGGGGCAGCAGUGAGGAAUUUUCGUCAAUGGGGGCAACCCUGAACGAGCAACGCCGCGUGCAGGAUGACAC